Molecule: unclassified non-coding RNA, 256 nt
Organism: Cricetulus griseus (Chinese hamster)
Lineage: Eukaryota; Metazoa; Chordata; Mammalia; Rodentia; Cricetidae
Gene: 7SK
Rfam family: 7SK RNA
About the family: 7SK was discovered as an abundant small nuclear RNA in the mid-70s but a possible function has only recently been suggested. Two independent studies have found that 7SK RNA binds the CDK9/cyclin T complex (known as elongation factor P-TEFb).
Source: Ensembl
GGAUGGAGGAGAAAAGUUAGGAAAGUGCCCUGUUGUCCCUCAUGGCUCCAUUGUGUCCCCUCCCUAAGCCAUGUGCCUGGAGGACAACCUUCCCUAACAGGGGAAGAUGGGUCUUCAAUCAAGGGUAUACAAAUAGCCUCGGUCCUCUAUGAGAACCUCCAAAUAACUCUCAAAGGACAGGCCAGGAGAGUAAACGAGUCAAACUUCAGUUCACAAACUCAUACAUUAUUAUUUUUAUAUAAAAUAAUAAGAGAAU